Molecule: ribosomal RNA, 678 nt
Filed under: uncultured crenarchaeote
Lineage: Archaea; Thermoproteati; Thermoproteota
Description: bacterial SSU rRNA
Rfam family: Archaeal small subunit ribosomal RNA
Source: RNAcentral
CCCUAUGGGGUGCAGCAGGCGAGAAACCUUUGCAAUGUGCGCAAGCACGACAAGGUUAAUCCGAGUGUUUCCUGCUAAAGGAAUCUUUUGCUAGUCCUAAAAACACUAGUGAAUAAGGGGUGGGCAAGUUCUGGUGUCAGCCGCCGCGGUAAAACCAGCACCUCAAGUUGUCAGGAGGAUUAUUGGGCCUAAAGCAUCCGUAGCCUGCUCUGUAAGUUUCCGGUUAAAUCCAUUUGCUCAACAAAUGGGCUGCCGGAAAAACUGCAAAGCUAGGGAGUGGGAGAGGUAGACGGUACUCGGUAGGAAGGGGUAAAAUCCUUUGAUCUAUUGAUGACCACCUGUGGCGAAGGCGGUCUACCAGAACACGUUCGACGGUGAGGGAUGAAAGCUGGGGGAGCAAACCGGAUUAGAUACCCGGGUAGUCCCAGCUGUAAACGAUGCAGACUCGGUGAUGCGUUGGCUUGUGGCCAGUGCAGUGCCGCAGGGAAGCCGUUAAGUUUGCCGCCUGGGAAGUACGUACGCAAGUAUGAAACUUAAAGGAAUUGGCGGGGGAGCACCACAAGGGGUGAAGCCUGCGGUUCAAUUGGAGUCAACGCCAGAAAUCUUACCCGGAGAGACGGCAGAAUGAAGGUCAAGCUGAAGACUUUACCAGACAAGCUGAGAGGUAGUGCAUGGCCA